Molecule: ribosomal RNA, 477 nt
Filed under: uncultured bacterium
Lineage: Bacteria
Description: bacterial SSU rRNA
Rfam family: Bacterial small subunit ribosomal RNA
Source: RNAcentral
GAACGCUAGCGGCAGGCUUAACACAUGCAAGUCGAGGGGUAUAGGGAGCUUGCUUCCUAGAGACCGGCGCACGGGUGCGUAACGCGUAUGCAAUCUACCUUUUGCAGAGGGAUAGCCCAGAGAAAUUUGGAUUAAUACCUCAUAGUAUGUGAGAAUGGCAUCAUUUUCACAUUAAAGUCACAACGGUGAAAGAUGAGCAUGCGUCCCAUUAGCUAGUUGGUAAGGUAACGGCUUACCAAGGCAACGAUGGGUAGGGGUCCUGAGAGGGAGAUCCCCCACACUGGUACUGAGACACGGACCAGACUCCUACGGGAGGCAGCAGUGAGGAAUAUUGGACAAUGGGCGCAAGCCUGAUCCAGCCAUGCCGCGUGCAGGAUGACGGUCCUAUGGAUUGUAAACUGCUUUUAUACAGGAAGAAACACUACUUCGUGAAGUAGCUUGACGGUACUGUAAGAAUAAGGAUCGGCUAACUCCGUG